CUCGGCCUGUAAACAGACCUAUUUAUCUGUAAUAUUAUGCUUUUGAAACCUUCGUUAUACUGCUUUACCAGUUAUGCUUGAAGCUUUUUAUACAUAUGUUUUACCUCAAAUAAAUAAUUCUUUAUGGCUACAACUUCGCAUUAUGCGAAUUAUUUAAUUUAAAAAAAUUAGGAUUUAUUAUGUCUAAAUCAACUGGUAUCGUUAAGUGGUUCAACGAAGAGAAAGGUUUCGGUUUCAUUACUCAAGAUAACGGCGGCGCUGACGUAUUCGUUCACUUCCGUGCUAUCGCAACUGAAGGUUUCAAAACUCUGAAAGAAGGCCAAGCGGUAACUUUCACUGUUGAACAAGGUCAAAAAGGCCCACAAGCUGCAGACGUUACUCCAGCUUAAUUCGAAUUUUUCGAAUAGAAUUUUUAAAAAUGCUGACUUCGGUCAGCAUUUUUUUU
Molecule: small RNA, 445 nt
Filed under: Aliivibrio fischeri ES114
Lineage: Bacteria; Pseudomonadati; Pseudomonadota; Gammaproteobacteria; Vibrionales; Vibrionaceae
Description: Vibrio fischeri ES114 cspA thermoregulator
Rfam family: cspA thermoregulator
Source: Rfam by way of RNAcentral